Long non-coding RNA from Hibiscus syriacus, 197 nucleotides. RefSeq lists it as uncharacterized. The transcript is spliced from 3 exons. The record is from RefSeq and is a predicted model, not a curated record. NCBI's taxonomy places the organism in Eukaryota, Viridiplantae, Streptophyta, Magnoliopsida, Malvales, Malvaceae.
UUGAUGUUGUUAAACUAGAGCAUGUGCUUCAUAAGUUCAAGGGCAGUAGUGCCAGCGUUGGUGCAAAGAAAGUUGUAAAUGAGAUCAUCAAAACAAGAAGGCUUUUGGGGGAAGGGAACCUAGAAGGGGCAAAAGUUGCCUUCCAAGAGCUGCGGAAGGAGUACGAGAAUCUCAAGGCCAUGCUUGAGCACUACUUU